Strigops habroptila (Kakapo) is the source of this 2808-nucleotide long non-coding RNA. The record is from Ensembl. Lineage: Eukaryota; Metazoa; Chordata; Aves; Psittaciformes; Psittacidae.
CAGAGAGCUUUUAUUAAGAAACAAUAAAAAUAGCAUAAUAAAAAUGUUGUAGCUUGUGCAGUGGGGUGUGAAAAAGUGACAAACAGCAGCACAGUGUCAGUGUGAACACAAACCAGGAAAGACAAGGAGAGAUUUGUUGAUCAGGUUACUCCUCCUGCCACAAACAAAUGUUCUCCGUGUUGUGCAGAAGUGGAAGCAAACAAAUUCAUGUGUAGUGGGUGGUUGCAAUGAAAAGCUGUUAUUUUUUGAUUGCGCCAAAAACAUUUUGUUUCCCUUGUUUCAAAUAGAGAUCUAGAUUAAUCUAAGGUGAAGAGUCUUAAAAUACAUAUUCAGAGUAACUUGUAAAGAUCCAUGUCCUUUUUUUGAAAACAGGAACUGAGAAACUAUUUAUUACGCAUUCUUUUUUGACCACCACUUUAGCCUAAAAAACAUUUAUGUGUCAGUCUGUUGGCCCCCAAAAUAAAUAGAUGUCUCGAGUCUCCCUUUGAGUCUUUUUGUGUAUAUCUUGUAGAAUGCAUUGAGGUUUCAUGUAGAUCUUUUGCUUUUUUGCUCUUUUCCAAAUUUGGUCUAUCUAUUCCCCUGCUUAGCUGAAUUUUUGCAUAAAUUGUGGCAAGUUAACCAUGCAGAGCCUCUCCUGUGCAGUAAUCUCAAACACCUUUGAAUCUAGUGCAAAUUUCUUGCAACUAAGCCUGGUCUAUGUCAGAUAACCAGUUCAUCAGCCCAGAUCUUUGGAAAACACAAGACUCUCUGCUGCCAGUUUUGCAGCAAUGUGCUGCAUGUUCUGUAUGGACAUAAUUCCUACACAGGCUUUGUAAAUUACAUACUUCUAUGGAGUGCAAAUUUUGAGAAACUUGCCUACCAAAAACUUGCUGGAAGAUAAUUUUAAUGGAAGAAACUAUUUAAAGCACUGUCCUGAAUUUUACCAUCUUCUCUUUACAAACAGAGCAUAAAUUCCUAUGACUUCCUCAGAAACCAGCUGCCAAGGGAAUGAAAUAUGAAGUGACUGCAGAAGCACUGUGGAGGAGGGAAGAAGGGAGGCAGUAGUCACUAGGCCUAGUGCUGGGCUUGGGAAGCUGGCCAUCCUUUAGCAGCCUGUGUAGGUAAGGGAGAGAAAGAUGUUUUGGUAGGCGCGUAGCACGUGAAGUAGAGCAGGUGUGAGUGCCCUCGGGUUGCCACUGAAGGAGGCUAUGAAAACUGCCAUCCUGAAGUUAGUCUUUGUGAAUGUUUUCCCUAAUAUUUGAAAUAUCAACUUCAAUUAGACCAUUAACACCGUUUUGCACAAACAGAAAUACUGAACAGAAGUUAUUUCUGACCACAGGUAAUUAAAGUGUAAGAGACUAAAGCUGGUCAUAUUUUUUCUUCUUACAUGUAGUCCUCAAACAUUGAAAUCCUGAAAAACAUAGAAGAAUUUUCUUCCACGUCAACUUUGGUAAUGACUUGAGUAUUUAGUAAUGACUCGGGUAUUUAGUAAUGACUCAGGGAAGCAAAUACCACAUACAGUGUACUUUUGUUUGGUAGAGUGCUUAGGCAAAUGAUUGACAUUAAGCAAAUUCUUCAGUUUCACUGAUCUCAGAACAUUUUUCUGAGGUCAGAAUCGGAAUUUGAUGAACAGGUCUGGAUUUAAACAUAUGCUGAUUUACAGUCUGAAUAUGAGUCAGUAUCAAAUUUUGCUUUUGGCAGCUAUUAAUAAUAGCUAGUACUGUACUGCAAGAUAGCAGAGUCAGAAUAUAUGAGCCCUUAGCCCUGCACACCUUCAUCAGUGAUAAGAUACAGUCAGCAUCAGCUCAAGUGACCUGGGGAGUCCUGUCAAGUUAACUCCUUUUUCUGAUUGAAAUCUGAUUUCUUUUAUGAGGUGGGAAUCUUGGGGUGGGGGUGACGGGUUGGGGUUUUUUUGUUGUUUUUGUGGUUUUUAGUAUCCAGCUUUUUCCUAGCCUACCAAAAGCAGAUAUUUUUGUCAAUUAGUUACUUCCUUUACUAUUACCCUUUUUUAAAUGAAGAUGUGAAAGUUGUGGAUUACUGUACGUAAUGACAAUGACACAAUCAAGAGAUAUGUUGAAAAAAAAGCAAUAUGGGAAUACGGAAGUACUUAAUAAGAAGACAUACAAAUAUGCAGGUGUAUUUAGAUUAUGCAGAAGCUUUAAAUGCCUGUGGUGGAUGAAAGUGAAAUUUAAGAUGACAAAAUAACUGACAAAUGAAGCAGAUAUUAAUGUUUAUUAAAUAUUUACAUUUGUCAUUUAAGGCUGUAGAUUUGACAUGAAAUGUAUGGCACAUAAAUAGUAAGACACAUUAUAGAUCCCUCACUGUUCUGUUUUUCUGUCAGUAAAACUUUUCUACUAGUCUGAAAGAAUAAGAGGGAUCUUCAGGCUUUUGAGCUAGGAAUCAGCAUGUGCUGAAGUGUGGGGAGUUUGACAAAAGAGCACCUAGGAGGGACAAAUAUCAAACCAGAAUGACUGAGAAAUGAUAGAGAAACAUGAAACCUGGCAGCUUACCCUGUAAAGAAAUGUAGUAUAUAGAGGAUGAGAAGCCAUGCUGGAGCUCUGCAAGUGAAAAAGAUUAGUGUUGUAGCCAGGUGUCAGGAGGGGAAAAUCUCCAGUGGCUUUUGAGGACUUUUGAGUGUGAAGUCAUGAAACCAAAGACAAAAAUACCGCUCUCAGUAGAUGUCAUCUAUGCCCUGCAGAUGUCAGGGCAGCACCUCAGGAGACUACUUUUAUCUUUGCCCUCACAACAAAUUCUUCAGAAGAGCAAUGAUUUUGCUUCUGAAAUUCAACAAAUGCGUUUUCCUGCUGAAUAUUCCUUCCGCUGCGUUCA